This 253-nucleotide ribosomal RNA is filed under the name uncultured bacterium. Its description in RNAcentral is "partial 16S ribosomal RNA". It matches the Rfam family "Archaeal small subunit ribosomal RNA", at positions 474 to 727 of the family's 1478-position model. The record is from RNAcentral.
UACCAGCACCUCGAGUGGUCAGGACGUUUAUUGGGCCUAAAGCAUCCGUAGCCGGCUCUGCAAGUCUUCGGUUAAAUCCACCUGCUCAACAGAUGGGCCGCUGGAGAUACUAUAGAGCUAGGGAGUGGGAGAGGCAGACGGUAUUCAGUGGGUAGGGGUGAAAUGCGCAGAUACAGUGAGGACCACCAGUGGCGAAGGCGGUCUGCCAGAACACGUUCGACGGUGAGGGAUGAAAGCGGGGGGAGCAAACCGG